This 253-nucleotide ribosomal RNA is filed under the name uncultured bacterium. RNAcentral's name for it is "partial 16S ribosomal RNA". It matches the Rfam family "Bacterial small subunit ribosomal RNA", at positions 524 to 776 of the family's 1533-position model. The record is from RNAcentral.
UACGGGGGGGGCAAGCGUUGUUCGGAAUUACUGGGCGUAAAGGGCGCGUAGGCGGCACUGUUAGUCAGGCGUGAAAUUCCUGGGCUCAACCUGGGGACUGCGCUUGAUACGGCAGAGCUUGAGGAUGGAAGAGGGUCGCGGAAUUCCCAGUGUAGAGGUGAAAUUCGUAGAUAUUGGGAAGAACACCGGUGGCGAAGGCGGCGACCUGGUCCAUUACUGACGCUGAGGCGCGACAGCGUGGGGAGCAAACAGG